UGACAGACUAAUGCCUUAUAAUCUCUCUCUUCCUCUCAUGUUUCCUUUUCAACUCCGAUCCCCUACAUUACACACCCCUCGUUCAUGAUC
Molecule: non-coding RNA, 90 nt
Organism: Aspergillus fumigatus Af293
Lineage: Eukaryota; Fungi; Ascomycota; Eurotiomycetes; Eurotiales; Aspergillaceae
Source: the annotation of a RefSeq genome assembly